AUUGAUGGAUUAAAAAUAUAUAAGAAGAGAGAAGCUCACCCAAUCGGAUGUGUGUACGGGUAGUAGGCUUCCCAAAGUGGCAGCCGCGUGAAUGAUUCGACUGGCCAAAAUCAGCUGGCUGUGCGUGCUCCAAAACAACCCAUAAUGGUGCGUGGUUGACGUGAAAGGGCUAGCAAAUGAACUCCGGCUUCUAUGCUUGAUAUUAACCGGCUGUUGCGCUAUCAAAACAGCCCGGAUGUGUGCGAUUGAUGCGAUGAAGAGCAAGCAAAUGACCAGCUGCUGUGCUUGGAGCAAAUCUGGAUGUGCGCGGCUGAUUCUUCUCUUGUCUUUCAAUGAUGCGGCUGUUCCUGAAAUUCCCCUGAGGGUGCGGCUGCACCUUGCACCUCCAGAAGUUGCUUCUCCUCAAGGGUGCGGCUGCACCUGUGCUUGCUUUCCAACGGUUCCCCUCACGUCAAGAAUGGUGCGGCUGCCUUCUCAUGCUCAGAAAAAAUCAUCCUUUCUUGAUUUCCUUUCUUUGGCGCAGCUGGUGCUCCCUUCAAUGAUGCGCCUCUCACCUCAAAACUGAUGCGGUUGUUCUCCCUCCAAUGGUGCACCUCUCACCUCCAGACUCAUGCGGCUGUUCUCCUCAAAAAAUCCUCCUCAAGGCUGCGUCCCUCCUCCAGACUUAUGGAGGCUGUUCUCCUCAAAAAAAUCCUCCUCAAGGCUGCAUCUCCCACUUCCAGAUUCAUGCUGCUGUUCUCCUCAAAAAAUCCUCCUCAAGGCUGCGUCUCCCACCUCCAGAUUCAUGCAACUGUUAUCCUCAAAUGGUGCGCCUCUCACCAGACUUAUGGAGGCUGUUCUCCUCAAAAAAUCCUCCUCAAGGCUGCGUCUCCCACCUCCAGAUUCAUGAGGCUGUUCUCCUCAAAUGGUGCGCCUCUCACCUCUGUACCUUCUCAAUCGUGGGGUGAAUGGUCGGUGAAUCAACAAACAGUCGCAUAUGUGUGUUUCAAAACAGCAUCUUCUCACCGCUCUAAAAAAACCUACUAUCCUCUCUAACGGCAGCCUCCUAUAUCCCUUUUUUUUUUUUUUUUUUCAAAAACGGACUCAUUCCUUCUUUCCUUUUUCUUUUUUUCUUAAUCUCUUCUCAAUCCCCCAUUCAGCUCCUCUCUACAGCCAUGGUAAUGGAAGGAAGUGCAGAAACAGCCCCCUUCCUCCAUUCGGAUCACCCUCCAUCCUUUCUUCGUCAUUGGUCAAACCUCUCUUUAGUGGUGCGUUUCGUUCCU
Molecule: long non-coding RNA, 1262 nt
Filed under: Vitis vinifera (wine grape)
Lineage: Eukaryota; Viridiplantae; Streptophyta; Magnoliopsida; Vitales; Vitaceae
Description: long non-coding RNA (VVIN_LNC000858)
Source: RNAcentral